UUGGGAAUAUUGGACAAUGGGCGAAAGCCUGAUCCAGCAAUGCCGCGUGAAUGAUGAAGGCCUUCGGGUCGUAAAGUUCUUUCAGCAGGGACGAAGGGAAACUUGACGGUACCUGCAGAAGAAGCACCGGCUAACUCCGUGCCAGCAGCCGCGGUAAUACGGAGGGUGCAAGCGUUGUUCGGAAUCAUUGGGCGUAAAGCGCGUGUAGGCGGUCACUUAAGUCUGGUGUGAAAUCCCGGGGCUCAACCCCGGAAGUGCAUUGGAUACUGGGUGGCUAGAGGACGAGAGAGGGAAGCGGAAUUCCUGGUGUAGGGGUGAAAUCCGUAGAUAUCAGGAGGAACAUCGGUGGCGAAGGCGGCUUCCUGGCUCGUACCUGACGCUGAGACGCGAAAGCGUGGGUAGCAAACAG
Molecule: ribosomal RNA, 409 nt
Filed under: uncultured bacterium
Lineage: Bacteria
Description: bacterial SSU rRNA
Rfam family: Bacterial small subunit ribosomal RNA
Source: RNAcentral